CAAAUCCAUCAGUCAAACUCCUCCCGCCGUGGUCCGCCUUUUUCGACCUUCUUCCUCACUUUCGACUCCGGCGACCCAUACCACAUCUUCUAUAUUCGUCGUCACCAUUUCUUCCUCACAACACAACCUCGUCACUUCUCCAUCACCGACAAACACAAUCCCUCCUCUUUCAAUCCCUUCCACCUUCAAAACCCUUCACCAAAAUCUCUUUACAACCAUCAACGCCACCGUCAACAUUCAUAAGC
This 245-nucleotide long non-coding RNA is filed under the name Lathyrus oleraceus (garden pea). RNAcentral's name for it is "Pisum sativum (pea) long non-coding RNA (PSAT_LNC025265)". Lineage: Eukaryota; Viridiplantae; Streptophyta; Magnoliopsida; Fabales; Fabaceae. The record is from RNAcentral.